RNAcentral lists this ribosomal RNA (229 nucleotides) under uncultured bacterium. Its description in RNAcentral is "partial 16S ribosomal RNA". It matches the Rfam family "Bacterial small subunit ribosomal RNA", at positions 568 to 796 of the family's 1533-position model. The record is from RNAcentral.
CGCGCAGGCGGUCGCAUAAGUCAGUUGUGAAAUCCCAUGGCUCACCCAUGGAACUGCUUCUGACACUGUGUGACUUGAGUCCGGGAGAGGAGAGCGGAAUUCCCAGUGUAGCGGUGGAAUGCGUAGAUAUUGGGAGGAACACCAGUGGCGAAGGCGGCUCUCUGGACCGGAACUGACGCUGAGGCGCGAAAGCUAGGGGAGCAAACAGGAUUAGAUACCCUGGUAGUCC